CAUCAUGUAGAUCUCCGGCUCGAAGUUGUGCGGCUUGUCGGGCUUGCCCAUCUCGAUGACGCAGAACACCACGAUGAAGACGGCCGCCCCGAUGUACAGGUACUCCCCCUGGCGACACAAGCAGACGCGUCUCCGAUCCGAUCAGUAGAUGCAGGUGACGAGUUUUUUUUUUUUUUUUUUUGGGGCACAAAUGCUUGGAGCGCAGGAAUUUCACAGGAAACAAUUCACUUUCCCGACAGAAAGCACAAUUCACUUCCGACCAGGAAACUUCGUGUUCCAAACAGGGGACUAGGUACUGGGAGGAGGAAGUGCUGGAUCCUUACCG
Molecule: long non-coding RNA, 325 nt
Filed under: Zea mays
Lineage: Eukaryota; Viridiplantae; Streptophyta; Magnoliopsida; Poales; Poaceae
Description: long non-coding RNA (ZMAY_LNC001875)
Source: RNAcentral